UCUACAGGCUUAACACAUGCAAGUCGAGGGGCAGCAUGGUCUUAGCUUGCUAAGGCCGAUGGCGACCGGCGCACGGGUGAGUAACACGUAUCCAACCCGCCGUCUACUCUUGGACAGCCUUCUGAAAGGAAGAUUAAUACAAGAUGGCAUCAUGAGUCCGCAUGUUCACAUGAUUAAAGGUAUUCCGGUAGACGAUGGGGAUGCGUUCCAUUAGAUAGUAGGCGGGGUAACGGCCCACCUAGUCUUCGAUGGAUAGGGGUUCUGAGAGGAAGGUCCCCCACAUUGGAACUGAGACACGGUCCAAACUCCUACGGGAGGCAGCAGUGAGGAAUAUUGGUCAAUGGGCGAGAGCCUGAACCAGCCAAGUAGCGUGAAGGAUGACUGCCCUAUGGGUUGUAAACUUCUUUUAUAAAGGAAUAAAGUCGGGUAUGCAUACCCGUUUGCAUGUACUUUAUGAAUAAGGAUCGGCUAACUCCGUGCCAGCAGCCGCGGUAAUACGGAGGAUCCGAGCGUUAUCCGGAUUUAUUGGGUUUAAAGGGAGCGUAGAUGGAUGUUUAAGUCAGUUGUGAAAGUUUGCGGCUCAACCGUAAAAUUGCAGUUGAUACUGGAUAUCUUGAGUGCAGUUGAGGCAGGCGGAAUUCGUGGUGUAGCGGUGAAAUGCUUAGAUAUCACGAAGAACUCCGAUUGCGAAGGCAGCCUGCUAAGCUGCAACUGACAUUGAGGCUCGAAAGUGUGGGUAUCAAACAGGAUUAGAUACCCUGGUAGUCCACACGGUAAACGAUGAAUACUCGCUGUUUGCGAUAUACAGCAAGCGGCCAAGCGAAAGCGUUAAGUAUUCCACCUGGGGAGUACGCCGGCAACGGUGAAACUCAAAGGAAUUGACGGGGGCCCGCACAAGCGGAGGAACAUGUGGUUUAAUUCGAUGAUACGCGAGGAACCUUACCCGGGCUUAAAUUGCAGAUGAAUUACGGUGAAAGCCGUAAGCCGCAAGGCAUCUGUGAAGGUGCUGCAUGGUUGUCGUCAGCUCGUGCCGUGAGGUGUCGGCUUAAGUGCCAUAACGAGCGCAACCCUUGUUGUCAGUUACUAACAGGUUCCGCUGAGGACUCUGACAAGACUGCCAUCGUAAGAUGUGAGGAAGGUGGGGAUGACGUCAAAUCAGCACGGCCCUUACGUCCGGGGCUACACACGUGUUACAAUGGGGGGUACAGAGGGCCGCUACCACGCGAGUGGAUGCCAAUCCCAAAAACCUCUCUCAGUUCGGACUGGAGUCUGCAACCCGACUCCACGAAGCUGGAUUCGCUAGUAAUCGCGCAUCAGCCACGGCGCGGUGAAUACGUUCCCGGGCCUUGUACACACCGCCCGUCAAGCCAUGGGAGCCGGGGGUACCUGAAGUGCGUAACCGCGAGGAGCGCCCUAGGGUAAAACUGGUGACUGGGGCUA
This 1440-nucleotide ribosomal RNA is filed under the name uncultured organism. RNAcentral describes it as "SSU rRNA". It matches the Rfam family "Bacterial small subunit ribosomal RNA". The record is from RNAcentral.